UGGGGAAUUUUGGACAAUGGGCGAAAGCCUGAUCCAGCCAUGCCGCGUGCGGGAAGAAGGCCUUCGGGUUGUAAACCGCUUUUGUCAGGGAAGAAAUCUUCUGAGUUAAUACCUCGGGAGGAUGACGGUACCUGAAGAAUAAGCACCGGCUAACUACGUGCCAGCAGCCGCGGUAAUACGUAGGGUGCAAGCGUUAAUCGGAAUUACUGGGCGUAAAGCGUGCGCAGGCGGUUUUUGUAAGACAGAGGUGAAAUCCCCGGGCUCAACCUGGGAACUGCCUUUGUGACUGCAAGGCUUGAGUGCGGCAGAGGGGGAUGGAAUUCCGCGUGUAGCAGUGAAAUGCGUAGAUAUGCGGAGGAACACCGAUGGCGAAGGCAAUCCCCUGGGCCUGCACUGACGCUCAUGCACGAAAGCGUGGGGAGCAAACAGGAUUAGAUACCCUGGUAGUCCACGCCCUAAACGAUGUCAACUGGUUGUUGGGAAGGUUCCUUCUCAGUAACGUAGCUAACGCGUGAAGUUGACCGCCUGGGGAGUACGGCCGCAAGGUUGAAACUUAAAUGAAUUGA
Molecule: ribosomal RNA, 566 nt
Filed under: uncultured bacterium
Lineage: Bacteria
Description: partial 16S ribosomal RNA
Rfam family: Bacterial small subunit ribosomal RNA
Source: RNAcentral